This 74-nucleotide transfer RNA is filed under the name Lactococcus lactis subsp. lactis. RNAcentral's name for it is "tRNA-Met". Lineage: Bacteria; Bacillati; Bacillota; Bacilli; Lactobacillales; Streptococcaceae. RNAcentral also lists the same sequence under 1 other name. The record is from RNAcentral.
UCAGUAUUGAGCUUAACAAGGUGCUAUACUUAAUUUUAUGAGAUCACAGUCUCUGUUGUAGAAUAGAAACCAAA